Molecule: transfer RNA, 73 nt
Filed under: Cordylochernes scorpioides
Lineage: Eukaryota; Metazoa; Arthropoda; Arachnida; Pseudoscorpiones; Chernetidae
Description: tRNA-Thr
Rfam family: tRNA
About the family: Transfer RNA (tRNA) molecules are approximately 80 nucleotides in length. Their secondary structure includes four short double-helical elements and three loops (D, anti-codon, and T loops).
Source: RNAcentral
UCCAGGGUUGCCUAAUGGACAUGGCAUCUGUCCGGUAAGCGGAACACUGUGGGUUCGAUUCCCAUCCCUGGAC